Molecule: ribosomal RNA, 253 nt
Filed under: uncultured bacterium
Lineage: Bacteria
Description: partial 16S ribosomal RNA
Rfam family: Bacterial small subunit ribosomal RNA
Source: RNAcentral
UCCGGGGGGUGCUAUCGUUAUUCGGAAUCAUUGGGCGUAAAGGGCGCGUAGGCGGUCUUUUAAGUCAGAUGUGAAAGCCCUCGGCUUAACCGAGGAAGUGCAUUUGAUACUAAGAGACUUGAGUAUGGGAGAGGGAAGCGGAAUUCCUGGUGUAGCGGUGAAAUGCGUAGAUAUCAGGAGGAACACCGGUGGCGAAGGCGGCUUCCUGGACCAAUACUGACGCUGAGGCGCGAAGGCGUGGGGAGAAAACAGG